GACGAACGCUGGCGGCGUGCUUAACACAUGCAAGUCGAACGCUGAAGACCUGGCUUUUGUUGGGUUGGAUGAGUGGCGAACGGGUGAGUAACACGUGAGUAACCUGCCCUCUUCUUUGGGAUAACGCCCGGAAACGGGUGCUAAUACUGGAUAUUCACUGGCCUUCGCAUGGGGGUUGGUGGAAAGGUUUGUUCUGGUGGGGGAUGGGCUCGCGGCCUAUCAGCUUGUUGGUGGGGUGAUGGCCUACCAAGGCUUUGACGGGUAGCCGGCCUGAGAGGGUGACCGGUCACAUUGGGACUGAGAUACGGCCCAGACUCCUACGGGAGGCAGCAGUGGGGAAUAUUGCACAAUGGGCGAAAGCCUGAUGCAGCGACGCCGCGUGAGGGAUGGAGGCCUUCGGGUUGUAAACCUCUUUCGCUCAUGGUCAAGCCUCAACUGUGGGUUGUGGUGAGGGUAGUGGGUAAAGAAGCGCCGGCUAACUACGUG
This 486-nucleotide ribosomal RNA is filed under the name uncultured bacterium. RNAcentral's name for it is "partial 16S ribosomal RNA". It matches the Rfam family "Bacterial small subunit ribosomal RNA", at positions 28 to 507 of the family's 1533-position model. The record is from RNAcentral.